AAAAAUAUACAGUGCAAACCGCAUAUGUAGUGAAAACUUGAAAACUACCGUUGGAUCGAGAAAUGGACAUCCGAGAUUCGUCCACGUCACCAUGAGUUAAAACUUAACUCGCAGAUUCACUCAUGAGUUAACUCAUGGUGACGUGGACGAAUCUCGGAUGUCCAUUUCUCGAUCCAACGGUAAUUUCUAAGUUUCCACUACAUAUGUGGUUUGCACUAUA
Molecule: unclassified non-coding RNA, 220 nt
Filed under: Oryza sativa (Asian cultivated rice)
Lineage: Eukaryota; Viridiplantae; Streptophyta; Magnoliopsida; Poales; Poaceae
Source: RNAcentral